GCGAUGUUUGGGGACCAACAGCGGUUGCCAGGGGUGACGCCGUCCCCUCCCGGUCUCCUCCCGUUGCCAGGCGACGCGGGGAGCGUUUCCCAAACCAAACAUCCCCAUCCCGCCUCACCAAAGAUGUCAGCGGGUAUUUUCAGGAGCCCGGGGAAGGCAGGAGGGACAAAUAACGCCUUUGCCAUGGGGAACUGCCCUGCACGAGAAGAAUUAACCCAAAAAUAUUCUGAAGGAGGCAAACAAUCUUUUGCUGGAGAUGUUCAGAGCAGCAUUCAACAGAGAGCAACUACUUAUGGAAGACAAGAACAACUUAAAAAGUCAACUGGAAAUUAAAAAGUCAUAAUUUAAAGACUCUCCCUGGCUAGGGGAUAACACAGACAGCACCUGCAGCUCACUGAGGUGAUCCAAGAGCAUUUAUACUCAUUAAUGAAAAAAUCAAUCAAACCAAGCUCAUUCAACCCCUGCCCAUCCCACCACUGCUUUAAGGCCAACUUCAGCACUGCAGCCUCCAAACUGUGUGAAAAUGGUUAAAAGCUGCUUUAGCACUGUGACAUUUGGCCAAUGAAGGACUUCAAAAGAGAAUUCUGGCCACGACAGCAGAAGCAGCAAAGGUGGAUGUGACCAACCUCCUGACAACUGUGGCCUCUCAAAGCCCAGCCUGUAAAACCAGCCCAAACUCCCUGUCUAGACCCUCUUGCUCCUUACAGCAGAAUUCCUGCAGGGAUAUCUUUGCUGGCACUGACCCAAGAGCCAUCAGCUCCUCUCAGAGUGUAAAAGAGACCAGCUGCCCUCAUAGACCCACUAUAUUUAUUCCAAAUUAAAUCCAAGAUGCUUCUCACUUCA
Vidua chalybeata is the source of this 843-nucleotide long non-coding RNA. RefSeq lists it as uncharacterized. Lineage: Eukaryota; Metazoa; Chordata; Aves; Passeriformes; Viduidae. The transcript has 2 exons. The record is from RefSeq and is a predicted model, not a curated record.